This 436-nucleotide long non-coding RNA is filed under the name Mytilus galloprovincialis (Mediterranean mussel). Lineage: Eukaryota; Metazoa; Mollusca; Bivalvia; Mytilida; Mytilidae. The record is from RNAcentral.
CCUGGAUUUAUGAGUUUUGAACAGCGGUAUACUACUGUUGCCUUUAUUUGGCAUUACUAAAUUCAUCCUGGUUAAUAAUAUAUUUAUCUAGAUUUCACUGAUUUCCAUUAGGUGGGACCAGUUGGCAGGAGUAAUAUUAACGGAAUUUAACUUAUAUACAACGGGAUAACAUCUUUUUACAUGAGUGGGGCGAGUUGGCAUUAGUAAAUUCUUCCUGGUUAAUAAUAUAUUUAUCUAGAUAUUAUCGUUUUCUAUAAGGUUGGGGCAAGUUGGCAGGAGUAAUAUUAAGGGAUAUAACACAUUUCACAAGUGGGGCGAUUUGGUUAUCCAGGUUGGGGCAGUUUUUUUUUAAAGUGGGGCGAGUUAGUGAAAAAGUGGGGCUAUUUGCUAAUGGGGCGAUUUGUCAUGGAUUCCCUUCAAAUAUAUUCUAAUGUGG